RNAcentral lists this ribosomal RNA (876 nucleotides) under Henneguya sp. RNAcentral's name for it is "SSU rRNA". It matches the Rfam family "Eukaryotic small subunit ribosomal RNA", at positions 356 to 1092 of the family's 1831-position model. The record is from RNAcentral. RNAcentral also lists the same sequence under 1 other name. Lineage: Eukaryota; Metazoa; Cnidaria; Myxozoa; Bivalvulida; Myxobolidae.
CGGGUAACGGGGGAUCCAGGGUUCCGAUUUCCGGAGAGGGAGCCUGAGAAACGGCUACCACAUUCCAAGGAAGGCAGCAGGCGCGAAAAUUACCCAAUCCAGAAAAUGGGAGGUGGUGACGAGAAGUACCGAAUGGCGACAUAUGUUGCUAGUUUGGAAUGAAAACAAUUUAAGCAAUUGAAUUGAGUAACGACUGGAGGGCAAGUCUGGUGCCAGCAGCCGCGGUAAUUCCAGCUCCAGUAGCGUGUCUCAAAGUUGCUGCGCUUAAAACGCUCGUAGUUGGAUCACGCACUGCAAGUUGGUGUAUUUUGUGUAUGCUACGUCAAGCCCUGAGUUUUCAGCCUCGGCGUUCACGUUGGGCGUUGGAACGACGGGUGUACGUACACAAAGUAGUUAGCCAAUUUGUAGUAAUUGCACGUGAGGAUGACCGUUGACCUUUAGUGCGUUGAUGGUCGUGUCUCAUGGGGUGUGCCUUGAGUAAAUCAGAGUGCUUAAAGCAGGCUUUACGCUUGAAUGUUGAUAGCAUGGAACGAACAAUCGUGUAUGGUGUGCAUUGGCAACAGUGUCAGGUGUAUGUAAAGUAUGCCUGCACUGCAAUGCACGACACCGACCACCAAUUACGGAUGUUGGUUCCGUAUUGGGGUACUGAUUAAGAGGAGCAGUUGGGGGCAUUGGUAUUUGGUAGCGAGAGGUGAAAUUCUUGGACCUACCAAGGACUAACAAAUGCGAAGGCAUCUGUCCAGACUGUAUCCAUUAAUCAAGAACGAAAGAGAGAGGUUCGAAAACGAUCAGAUACCGUUCUAGUUCUCUCUGUAAACUAUGCCGACCCGGGAUCAGUUUGGAGCAAUAUGUCCACGCUCGAGUUGGUCCCCCCCA